UGUUUUAUCGGUUAUUCCUACACUUUUACUACGACAUGCAGAGGUUUAGACAACGACUCUACAAACUCUGAGAAACAAUGAAAACAAUCCAACCAGAUAAGAUUCAAAUUUCAGUCACAACUUAAAGGAUGAAGAUGAUCUCCAGGAUCCUGCUGCUCCUCAUCCUCAGCUCAUGUCUCUGUGCAGCAACAUUUGUAGUGAAUGUGACACAGAGCAGCUAUCAGGCAGAGGAGAACCACAGCAUCACUCUGGAGUGGACCUUCACCACCAAGACUCAGGGAACCUGGAAGAAUCUGUUCAUCUACUGCAGCUUGUUGGCUCCUCAUAAAGAAUUGGUUCUCUAUCAGGUCCAUGAAGGUGUUAAGAUUCCAGAG
Xiphophorus hellerii (green swordtail) is the source of this 374-nucleotide long non-coding RNA. RefSeq lists it as uncharacterized. The record is from RefSeq and is a predicted model, not a curated record. NCBI's taxonomy places the organism in Eukaryota, Metazoa, Chordata, Actinopteri, Cyprinodontiformes, Poeciliidae. The transcript has 4 exons.